GACGAACGCUGGCGGCGUGCUUAACACAUGCAAGUCGAACGGAAAGGCCUCUUUCGGGGGGUACUCGAGUGGCGAACGGGUGAGUAACACGUGAGUAACCUGCCCUUGACUUUGGGAUAACUUCAGGAAACUGGGGCUAAUACCGGAUAGGAGCUCCUGCUGCAUGGUGGGGGUUGGAAAGUUUCGGCGGUUGGGGAUGGACUCGCGGCUUAUCAGCUUGUUGGUGGGGUAGUGGCUCACCAAGGCUUUGACGGGUAGCCGGCCUGAGAGGGUGACCGGCCACAUUGGGACUGAGAUACGGCCCAGACUCCUACGGGAGGCAGCAGUGGGGAAUAUUGCACAAUGGGUGGAAGCCUGAUGCAGCAACGCCGUGUGCGGGAUGACGGCCUUCGGGUUGUAAACCGCUUUCGCUCAUGACGAAGCUUUGUGUGACGGUAGUGGGGAAAGAAGCACCGGCUAACUACGU
This 466-nucleotide ribosomal RNA is filed under the name uncultured bacterium. Its description in RNAcentral is "partial 16S ribosomal RNA". It matches the Rfam family "Bacterial small subunit ribosomal RNA", at positions 28 to 506 of the family's 1533-position model. The record is from RNAcentral.